Long non-coding RNA from Bombina bombina (fire-bellied toad), 725 nucleotides. RefSeq lists it as uncharacterized. The record is from RefSeq and is a predicted model, not a curated record. The transcript is spliced from 3 exons. NCBI's taxonomy places the organism in Eukaryota, Metazoa, Chordata, Amphibia, Anura, Bombinatoridae.
CCUGUAUUGGCUUGUGCUGGAUUUGUAAAGGACACUGCCUUUGAUCACAUGGAUAAACAGGGAUAUACAAGGAAAUUUGUCAUUUGGAUUUGCCUCUGCAUUCUACCAUCUUUAUCUGAUGGAGUGCCUGCAUGGGAUACCUGAAUCAUGUCAUAUGAUUAUAUACAAGAUGGUUAUGAAAGUUUAAACACAGCUCUGAAAGCAUAUUAGAUAUAUAAAUGCCAUUAAUUCCAGAAUAAUUAACAGGAUAAAGGAUUGUAAUAUGAUAUAAUGUUAAGGGCAUACUGUGUUUCAUAUCAAAAUGACCAGAGAGGUAAUGUGAUCUUACCCGUCUGUGAUUGGUAUUGCGAACUUAUUAAUAUGAAGAAAAUGAUGGUAGUUAUUACAUAUUUUAAAGAAAUAAUCUCAAAUGUUUAGAAAUGGCUAGGUGUAUUUGCUUAUGUGUCAUGUGGCCCCCCGAUGGACAGAUGCAGGUAUUGCAGCCAGGAGACGAUUGGUUGUUGCAAGGAUGCAUCUCCUUAGCAACGCACACUCACAAGGUGAACCAAUAGCAGGGACAAGGUUUCGAAGGGCCGCCCAUAAUCAAUACCUAUGAUUACACAAUAAAGUUGUAUGCAGAAAAGGAAAAAAGAGACUGGCUGCUGAGUUUGUAACUGACUGAAACUGUUUGCGUGGGACACAGUCAAAUUAUAAAACAAAGUGGGCCAUACUUCUCCUUUUCCAUU